UACGGAGGAUGCGAGCGUUAUCCGGAUUUAUUGGGUUUAAAGGGUGCGUAGGCGGACUGUCAAGUCAGCGGUAAAAUUGAGAGGCUCAACCUCUUCCCGCCGUUGAAACUGGUGGUCUUGAGUGGAUGAGAAGUACGCGGAAUGCGUGGUGUAGCGGUGAAAUGCAUAGAUAUCACGCAGAACCCCGAUUGCGAAGGCAGCAUACCGGCGCCCGACUGACGCUGAAGCACGAAAGCGUGGGUAUCGAACAGG
Molecule: ribosomal RNA, 252 nt
Filed under: uncultured bacterium
Lineage: Bacteria
Description: partial 16S ribosomal RNA
Rfam family: Bacterial small subunit ribosomal RNA
Source: RNAcentral